UGGGGAAUAUUGGACAAUGGGCGCAAGCCUGAUCCAGCCAUGCCGCGUGAGUGAUGAAGGCCCUAGGGUCGAAAAGCUCUUUCACCGGUGAAGAUAAUGACGGUAACCGGAGAAGAAGCCCCGGCUAACUUCGUGCCAGCAGCCGCGGUAAUACGAAGGGGGCUAGCGUUGUUCGGAUUUACUGGGCGUAAAGCGCACGUAGGCGGACUAUUAAGUCAGGGGUGAAAUCCCGGGGCUCAACCCCGGAACUGCCUUUGAUACUGGUAGUCUUGAGUUCGAGAGAGGUGAGUGGAAUUCCGAGUGUAGAGGUGAAAUUCGUAGAUAUUCGGAGGAACACCAGUGGGGAAGGCGGCUCACUGGCUCGAUACUGACGCUGAGGUGCGAAAGCGUGGGGAGCAAACAGG
Molecule: ribosomal RNA, 404 nt
Filed under: Actinomycetes bacterium
Lineage: Bacteria; Bacillati; Actinomycetota; Actinomycetes
Description: Actinobacteria bacterium partial 16S ribosomal RNA
Rfam family: Bacterial small subunit ribosomal RNA
Source: RNAcentral